UUUUUUUCCAGUAGUUGACUACCCACGCUGUGCUUUUUGAGUAUAAUGAUCCAACACUUUGAAUAGGAAGACCUGAUGC
This is a small nucleolar RNA of Rhodamnia argentea, 79 nucleotides long. RefSeq annotates it as small nucleolar RNA snoR64a. Lineage: Eukaryota; Viridiplantae; Streptophyta; Magnoliopsida; Myrtales; Myrtaceae. The transcript has a single exon. The record is from RefSeq and is a predicted model, not a curated record.